RNAcentral lists this unclassified non-coding RNA (343 nucleotides) under soil metagenome. Its description in RNAcentral is "partial contains 5.8S ribosomal RNA, internal transcribed spacer 2, and large subunit ribosomal RNA". The stretch from base 1 to 121 matches the Rfam family "5.8S ribosomal RNA", at positions 35 to 154 of the family's 154-position model. The record is from RNAcentral.
GAUGAAGAACGCAGCGAAAUGCGAUAAGUAAUGCGAAUUGCAGAAUUUCCGUGAGUCAUCGAAUCUUUGAACGCACAUUGCGCCCACUGGUAUUCCGGUGGGCAUGCCUGUUCGAGCGUCAUUAUCCCCCCUCAAACCCCGUGUUUGGUGUUAGACCCAAGUUGUGUGAACAACUGGUCUCAAAGACAAUGACGGCGUCCGUGGGACCCUCGGUGCAACGAGCUUUUAGGAGCACGAGCUGAGUUUCAAGGACCCUCCGGGCCGGUCUCCUAUUUAUUAUCAAGGUUGACCUCGGAUCAGGUAGGAAUACCCGCUGAACUUAAGCAUAUCAAUAAGCGGAGGA